UUGAGCCGUAUGCGGGGAAACUCGCACGUACGGUUCUUAGGGGAGGACGCGACGGCAACGUCGCGUCCUUACCCGAC
Molecule: non-coding RNA, 77 nt
Organism: Burkholderia sp. ST111
Lineage: Bacteria; Pseudomonadati; Pseudomonadota; Betaproteobacteria; Burkholderiales; Burkholderiaceae
Source: Rfam